AUUGAACGCUGGCGGCAUGCUUUACACAUGCAAGUCGAACGGCAGCGCGGGCUUCGGCCUGGCGGCGAGUGGCGAACGGGUGAGUAAUGCAUCGGAACGUGCCCAGUAGUGGGGGAUAGCCCGGCGAAAGCCGGAUUAAUACCGCAUACGACCUGAGGGUGGAAGCGGGGGACAGAAAGGCCUCGCGCUAUUGGAGCGGCCGAUGUCGGAUUAGCUAGGUGGUGGGGUAAAGGCUUACCAAGGCGACGAUCCGUAGCUGGUCUGAGAGGACGACCAGCCACACUGGGACUGAGACACGGCCCAGACUCCUACGGGAGGCAGCAGUGGGGAAUUUUGGACAAUGGGGGCAACCCUGAUCCAGCCAUGCCGCGUGCGGGAAGAAGGCCUUCGGGUUGUAAACCGCUUUUGUUCGGGAAGAAAUCCUCUGGGCUAAUACCCCGGGGGGAUGACGGUACCGGAAGAAUAAGCACCGGCUAACUACGUG
This 484-nucleotide ribosomal RNA is filed under the name uncultured bacterium. Its description in RNAcentral is "partial 16S ribosomal RNA". It matches the Rfam family "Bacterial small subunit ribosomal RNA", at positions 28 to 507 of the family's 1533-position model. The record is from RNAcentral.